GUGCAGCCCUGGAUGUCCCUAUCCAUUGGUGAUGUGCACAGGAACCAGUGGGAGCAAGCAGGAAAAGUGCAAGCAGGGAAAAAAGAAAAGAAAAAAUGUCAUGGAGAUUUCCAGAAAAGGAGCAAAGAAGGAAAGUAGGCUUUCUGAGUCUAUACAAGGGGCUCAGUGGCAGCUGGCCCUAGGUGACAUAGGGGGUUGAAGUACUGGCAUUCAGGAGUCUCCUCUCACAGCGUGUGCAUCAUCAGGUUUGAGCUCCAGGGGUGCACAGCCUUGACCCACUAUCUGGAUUUGGAUGGGAGUGUCCAAGGUGAGCUAAGUUCUUCCAGCACACUGCUGACCACGGGCUAGGCCAGUGCAGGUCCCAUGGGUCCACAGGGGCAGCAGCCUGGCCACAGAAUCCUUUAUGGUCAUCAGGCUGGCAGUAGCACCUUAUAAUCUGAUGUCACCGUUGUCAGAGAACCAGAGAAGAAUUCUUAGUGGGAUCGUGGAGGUAUAUCAUAGUCCCAUCACAUGGUGAAGCAGUCAAUCCAAAGGCCCAGAUCUAGUGUGGAUAAAGGCCCACACAAACUAAACAGGCAAUGGCCAUCAGCCUCUUUGCCUUAGUGAGUGAGAGCUGUCACAUAGGCCUGUCCCAGGGUGAACCAGUGGACUUCCCCCUUAGUGGUGUUCCAGGCCCACUCCCACAACUGAGGGGUAGUUCCUAAAAGCAGCCAUACUCCUCCAGGGCCAUGUUCCUUCAUUUAUAAAUCCUGGGUCAUAGUUAUCCAAUUUCCAACCCAUGUAGUAGCCCAUGGUGGCAAGUGGGGCCCAAAUAUCUGCCUGACCAUGAAGCUCAAAGCAACCAGUGAGAGACUCUGGUGACUGGAGCACAGUGGGUCAUCCCGUGAGGAAGGUCUUCAGGACCAUCUUAAUAAGCAAAGGUCAGGCAUUGGGUCAAUGUCAUUGAGAUCUGAGCCCCUGUCUAGUUGCUUUGAUACUGUGGCUUAGGCAGGUGGACACAAAAGUGGCUCGUGCAAUCCCUCCAAGGAAGGUUCAGGUCAGGGUUCUGGCGCUCCCAACCCAGGAAUCCUUAGUUGCCCCAGAAAGUGAAACAAUGGGAGAAGGCUGGAUUUAAAAUAAGGGCAUGUAGUGAGGGCUUGUGCACUUGGAAUAAAUGGCCCAAAUAGUACAGAAACAUUUUGGUGCUUGUUCUAGGAUAUCUAAAUCCAAUCAGUUGUGGUCAUCUUACUGGACUUGCACAAGUUUAGCUUGGAGCAGACUGCCAUGUCCUCUUCUAUGUCAGCCUGGCAAGACCAGAUACAUUUCCAUGGUUACUGGCAGGGUUAAAGGCCCUGUAUCUGCUGUUGACAGGGCACCAGGCUCCCCUGGAAGGGCAGCCCAGACAUUGGUGUAGGCUAGGAAGGUGCAGAAAGCCAAGGAGUCCUCACACAGCCACUAUCAGCAUGCUGCAAGAGCCCAUGCAGGCUUUGGUAGAGGUGGUUAUACAAAUGGGCAUGGAUGGGUUUGAGUUAGCACUUUCUUGGCAAAGGAUCUAAUUGGCUGAGGCAGAACUGCUGAUAUUUGCUGGUGAGAAAGGAGUGGGUAAUGAGGAAGAGGCAAAUAAAGUAGACAAGGAGAGAGUGAAUGGCACAACCCCAGAGUCAGGGCAGUGCCCACAUACUGCUUUCAGCCUCUCAUUGCGCCAGCAGCACCAGUCACAGGAAUUAGAUAGCUUGUCCCAGGUUGGAACAGAGUCACUUUCUACUCAUUCCAACCUUCCACUAAUAAGCAUAAGCACAAACUAAGGAGGUAGGAGCAGGGGAAAUGUACUCACUUAGGUGGAAGCAAGGCGGUCCUGGCCCACGUCAUAGUCUUUUGUUGGGCACAGGAGAGGAAUAAGGUCAUUCUCUUGUCCAAGGGUGUGCCUUCACUAUAAAACAGAGAAAGAUCAUAGCUAGAGAUUAUUCCCAGGGUGUCUUUUUCUUCAUUGGCCACUCAUUCUGUGGGGCCAGAUCAUAGUGCAACUACUUCCAUUUGUUCCCCCAUGGAGUGUGGUUAGAUGCUCAGUGAUGAGUGAGCCCCAUGAUGGCUGGGGAACCCAAUAAUUAGCACAAGCGCUCCUCUAUGAUAGUCAAUGGUGGACAUGCUGUGCUAGUAGCCACAGUAUCUGGUACUGGCACUCCCUCCUCAUCUUGUACCAAUUCCUCAUCUCCUGGGUACUGGAAACAGAUAUUGACAUCAAAUAUCCACACACCUGUCAGAUUUUCUAUUGGAAUAGGCAGAGUAUAGUCACUAGUUUUGGGGGUUAAGGUGUUUUGUUGAAAUUGCUACAGUAUCUUCUGUUGGAUUAUAGAAAACCUGUCUGCUCUAGCCAUACCUUAAGGGGACCUAGUCCUCGUUGCAUGGAAUCUAGUCAUAGAACAUAGGCCUGGGUCUAGAAGUGCAUUAUUAGCCGUGGCCACCUGGCUAUGCCCGUCUGCAUAGAAAUUGUGGAAUGAAGAAGGGUCAGUUCUGCCAUUGGGAAGAGAGACAUGAUCGACAAAGAUGGUGACAAGGGAAACUAAGUAUUUCUACAAAGACAUGGCCUGGGUCUCUCAACCUCGUACCAUCCAUUAUCUGACAACCCCCUCAUGACUCCAUAGGGUGAGGCCAUUGGUGCUGGACUAGGAAGAUGUAUGACGAAUCUUUGCUUACUAAAGCAAAAGGGCAAGCAGGAACCACAGACUCUGUACAUACUGCACAUGCUCUUCUUUCCCCUCAGUAGUCAGGGCCUGGUCAAUGGUAGGGUAGUACCUUCCGCUGCCGCAAGAUACCUAUCCCAUAAGAUCUAUGAAGCAGAAAACCCUGGCUUGCUCUGUGCUCGGUUCCAGAUACUGUCCAGGAAUCUGUGUCCCUGAGUGGGGCAGACUGCCCCAGGCCAUGGGGUAAGCAAGGAAGCUCACAAAGAUGGCUCCCCCGUUCAUUCAUCAGCUGUGAUCAGUUCUGAGGAAUUCUGCUCCUAAGCUCGUGAGAGAAGGGAAUACCCUGCAGCCUCCUGGGGCUGUGCCACUGCUUGUUCUGGCCAUACUCCCGAUGCUCCGCUAGGAAAGGGGUGAGGGGGUGGGCUGCUUUCCAAGCAAAGAAAACGCACUCUAACAAGGUGGGGGGAGGGGCGCUGCACCUUUGGCUAAGCCUGGGGGAGGCUUAGGAGGAUCAGGGCAGGGGUUUUCCUGGGCUUGUCUAGGAGUCUUUGCAAGGUCAUGUUCCAGGUAACUUUGACCACAUCUCUUUGCACCAACAACAGAAACGAUGCAUCGAGGCAAUGAGGCCUUGGAAUUAAGGACUAUGACUAAACGCAAAAACUCGGACCCAAGCCUUGAACUCACUGGUUUCCCGAGGACAUCCCCCACCCACUUUUAUACCACGUGCCUUUUGCUAAGGGAACAAUUCUUUCCCGUGACGCACAUGCCCAGAGAGACCAGAAUCCCGCUCAUGGGCUUCCGCCACUGACGUCAUACCCUACUUCCGGGAAUCAUUGGUGGGAUGUGACUCAUGGAGCUUCAUUGCUCCGAGGGGGAUUUAGGGUGAGGGAGGGCGGAAGUUUGGUGGCCACUCCACCCCCCAAUACCAGACAACUGGCACCUUCAGUGCCCUUCCUGGCAGGCCCACGCAGUCACUCUGCGUGGUGGGGGAAUUCUUAGAGUCUAUCGGGACUGUUUCAGGGCCUCGCGGGGCUCUUAUGGGUCUUACAGAGCGUGGUAGGGCACGACUGGCUGGGGGUCAUCUGCGCAGGCGCCGCGGGCAUCACUGAGGACACGUGGCUUUUUCAACUGAAGCAGCAAUGACCGGGAUGAGGUUUUGGUACCCAGUGACGUGGGUUUCUUAUAUGUCAUCAGUUUUGCUGAGUCAUCUACAGUACUGUGUGAGGACAGCCGCCUCACAGGGUCUUCCAGUUAAAGGGGAGGUUUUUUUAGCCAAGGAUUUGGGCCUAGUCAGUCAACGUUGAGGAGUCAUUUGCGCAUGCGUUGAUGAGAUUGGGGACACGUGAUCUUAGCCUGAAGCGAUAGCAUUGCGCCAGUCUCUGAUGGGGCCAGUUUUUCCUACCUCCAUCAUCGCGGCGUUGUAAGGAACAAGUAAGAAUGGAACCCUUAAAGGCUGUGAAAGGGUUAGCCAUUACCGUUUAAACCAACAAGGGCAACAGUAUCUUCUCCAAACCACAUUUCUGGAAUUCUCAAUCAUGAGCAUCAACAUUUUCAAAACCCUUCUCCAUGAUAAAGAGUUACCCCGCUUCUUAAACUUAAUGAUCUUAAGGGUAAUGAAUUCCUACUCCUACGUUAUUUCCAAAAGCGUCUAUGUAGCUUUUCAGUGGUAAUAUGGGAGAAGGAUGGAAACCCUUCCAUACUCCAACUCCAGGAGAAGAGAGGAUUCUGGGUGUCUGCUCCUCAUGGUGAGUGGAAAUUUACAUUUUUUUUUUUUUUUUGCAGCAUUUGUUUUUUUUUUUUUUUUUUUUUUUUUAAUUUAAUAGCCUUUUAUUUACAGGAUAUAUGCAGACCCCCAGCCAGUCGUGCCCUACCACGCUCUGUAAGACCCAUAAGAGCCCCCCUCCCCCAGAUGGCAGGAUGACCAGUAGAUGGUAAGUACAUUAAAAUAUAAAUUAGAUACACAAUAAGUAUACAUGACCAAAACGUUAUUUUUGCAGCAUUUGUUACACAUAAUUCUGGAUUUCUUUCUGAAUUUGGGAUGACUUCCAGAUAGUCCAGUAAGACUUUGACUUCAGAUGGUCAAAAUGAUCUCUUGAAGUUGUUCUUUGGGAGGCAAUUGAAGGCACACAACUAAAGGGUUAAAUAUCUGAGGUUUUGAAUUCAGUUCCUCAACUCCAGGGCCAGUGCUAGUCCAUUGUGCCAUUUAUCUGUACCCUACCCCAUCCCCACCCCCAGCUUGUGAAACAGGAGUUGGCUCCUUGCUCACCACCUCUCAGUGAAAAUUUCCAAUGCUCCCUGAAAUGACUACAUCUAAAACCUAAACUUCCUACAAUGUUAAAAAUCCCAGUACUUACCUUCACACUUUACUCUAAAAAACCAUGAGUAUGUAUCAACUCUUACCACCCGUAGCCUCCUAAUGAGCAUCAUAAGUGUAACAAUACUUUAUCACAGUAGCUGUCUUAAAGGCAGUGGGACAGAAGGGAGCCAAAAUAUAAGGAUCAUCCUACUUCUAACAUAUCCAAGUGACUGAGAGGCAGUACCAAUGGGAAUUUUAAAGAAAUUAACAUUUCCGCUAGUUAUGGUUUUAGAACUGAAGAGAAAGUGGGGAUUUGUGGAACAAGCUUCAGGUUUCGCCUAGUGAGAAAUGUUGAGGAAAAGUGUUCCAGAUGUGCAUCCUGCUGAGAACUGAAGGUGGGAGGGAUCUGCUUGUCUCUUGUAAGAAUAUAUGUCUGGAAAACUCACUUGGCAAAGCUUUCCACUUUCCCUAAAGGAUUUUAACUCAUAAUCAUUCAGUAAAGAAAUAUGAUUACCGUAACCAAACCAGGUGGUGAAACAAAUUAAAAAAUAAAUACAAAUCAAUUUACCAUAUACCGUGCAAGACAAUGCCAACAAAAUUCCUUUUUUGAAGUUGAGCUUUGUCUCCCUGUGACAAAAUACACAUGAGUUUGGAAGUUUCAUUUGGGAGCAGGAUACGGAAAACUUUCUGGAAAAAUGUUUUAUUUGGUUCCUCUCAAGAUGACAGAUUAGAUUUUUAUAGCACAAAUGUUUUGCCCUUAAAUUACCAUAUCCAGUCACAUAGUUCUUUCAUGGACAGCCUGGGUGAUUUUGGACAGUCCACUUUUUCUUCAUAUAAGGAGAUAAACCAAAUUGUCAUUGGGAAACUGAAGAGAAAUCGUUGUUCAGGAACUAGUAUCCCCCUUCCUGUCUUCUCUAUAGAAACUUCCUGUACUUUAGUUAGAAUCUAUUUUAAAAGUUCUCCCUGAGUAGGAAACAAACAAACAAAAAACAGUAGCAAAACAUGCCUCUCUGCUGCAAAGCCAUUUAUAAAAACAAAACAAAGCCAAAAAGAACCCUUUUCCCCCCUUAUCCUUUGUACUCAGUAGUGUCAUUGUAGUAAUUAUGAGCAAAAGAGAAAGAUAACCACUGUUAUUCAUAUUUCAAUGGUCUGUCUCCUAAAAUUAUUUGUUCACAGUGGGCUUUUAGAGUCAUGAUAACACAACUUUAAGAGUCCACAAAUGGUAGUGGAGACAUUUAGAAUUUUUUUUUUCUAUUAUGAGAUACACUUAUUGCCAAACUGACUUACUCAUCACAGAAAGGGAAAAAUACCCCUCAAAUCCCAUGAAGAUUAAAAAAUCGUAAUAAAUUAAUUAUUUAUAAUAAUAAUAUAAGUAAUAAACUGUAGUAAAUGAGAGAGAGCAUUGGAGUCCAAGAAGUUCAGUUCUUCUGAUAUAGGUGACCCAGUGCAGGAAUUUUAACCUUUUACUGCUAUCCCUUCCCACUGCCAUCCCUUCCCCUGACCCUCCCAUCCCAGUUUCCUGAGAUUCUUAAAUUACAAAUUAGUCGUUGAUCUAAAUUGGUGGGCAGUUUUCACACCAGGAGUUCUCUAGAUGGAUCAAGGUCUGGACCACCUUCUUCCCUCCAGCUCCCUCAAAAUAACGAUUGAGAGCUUAGUGACUGUAAUUUGAUUUAUAAUAGUAGAAGAAAUGAUCACUUGAAAAGGCCAGGAUUUUAUCCAAAGUAUUGCUUAGUUCAAACUAGACAGAACCAAGAAAAAAUAAAUUAACAGACUAAUAUACUCAAUUCAUUUUUUGUUCGUUUGAUUUUUUUUUUUUUUGGAAAUCUGAAGAGACAUAGUGACCGAUUUCCCCUUUCCAGCCAAGACUACGUCUUUACAAAUUCCCUUUAUGUUAGACAAAAGAGUUCCCUAAAGAGCUCCCUAAAGGAGCCUUAAUUUUAAAAUGCAUUGAGAUAGGGGGAAAGAGAACAGUGGUAACCUGCUAGCUGAUGGUUGGUGUGAAGAGAGUUAAACAGGCUUGCCCAGCUUUCAGAGAAAACUCUUGAGUUACCCACCAGAUAUUAUUGCCUAUGUUCUUCUCAAACCCAACUUUUUCCACUCUCAGGUUCUACAACCCUUAUUACAUAUCAAGUUUGUGUCCUCCCACAAGCUGGGGGGUGGGGUGGGGGGAACUAACCCAGGAUUUCCAGUAUGUGCUUGGUCUGUUUGGCCAAAGGUGACUAACUUAGUGGACUGAGGUCGACCUCCCCCUCCCCCAAAUCAAUAAUUUAAUGUGACUUAUCAGAAAGAGAAAGAAUUGUUUACUUUAAAUCCCUGGAUCCCAUAAAGGGAGAGAGGGAAAGGCACACUGGGAACAGAAGCUGCAGAGGGCCUUGUUUCUGCCUCUGGGCUGCUGAAAGGCAAAGCAGGAGAAAGCUCUUUAGAGGGAUGCAUCUAGCUCUAAGAGAUGUGUGGAACGCCAAGGCCCAGUCACUGUUCAGAUCAGAAUCUGGGACAGACCCUGCAGAGGAGAAGCUCCCCACCAUGCAGCCACUCUUGGAGGUGAAUUCUUAAGAAGUGAUGAGCCACCCAGCGGGGACAGUAGAGAGAAGUUUAUACCUCCACUAUGGCCGAGGACUAUGAAAGAAAUAGAUCAAGAAAGAAGGAAAAAGAAAAGCUGAGAAAGAAAACACAAUGCAAGAAUGCUAUGUUAUAAUCCAUACUCAGUUCCCACAGUCCUCUCUCUGGGAGUAGAUGACUCUCUUCUUCACUGCACAAGUGGAACUGGUUUGAAUCAUCUCAUUGUUGAAGAGAGCCAUGUCCAUCAGAAUUGACCAUCAUAUAGUCUUGUUGUUGCCGUGUAUAAUGAUCUCCUGGCUCUGCUCAUUUCAUUUAACAUCAGUUCAUGUAAGUCUCUCCAGGCCUCUUAAAUCAUCCUGCUGGUCAUUUCUUACAGAACAAUAAUAUCCCAUAACAUUUAUAUACCAUAAUUUAUUCAGACAUUCUCCAAUUGAUGGGCAUCCACUCAGUUUCCAGUUUCUUGCCACUAUAAACAGGGCUGCCACAAACAUUUUUAGACAUGUGGGUCCCUUUCCUUUCUUUAAGAUCUCUUUGAGAUAUAAGCCCAGUAGAAACACUGAUGGAUCAAAGGGUAUGCACAGUUGAUAACUUUUUGAGCAUAGUUCUAAACUGCUCUCCAGAAUGGCCGGAUGUAUUUAUAAUUCCACCAGCAAUGUAUCAGUGUCCCAGUUUUCCCACAUCCCCUCCAACAUUCAUCAUUAUCUUUUCCUGUCAUCUUAGCCAAUCUGACAGGUGUGUAAUGAUAUUUCAGAGUUGUCUUAAUUUGCAUUUCUCUGAUCAAUAGGGAUUUGGAGCACCUUUUCAUGUGGCUACAAAUACUUUCAAUUUCUUCAUCUGAAAACUGUCUUCAUCUCUCUUGACCAUUUAUCAAUUGGAGAAUGACUUAAACUAUUAUAAAUUUGAGUCAGUUUUCUAUAUAUUUUAGAAAUGAGGCCUUUUAUCAGAUCCUUUGGAUGAGUCUGGGCAAGUUUUAAGGAAGCUCAGAAUUGGAUGCUACGAAUAAGGGUCCAGAAAUUUCUGAGGAUAAGAAUAAGAAAUAGUGAAUACAGUGCUAUAUUUUAGUUUACUGAAGCUGGGGCUCAAUAGCCAUUUUGAUGUCUUGACUUUCUGUAGUUAAAAGCUCGUUAAUAGAAAACCACUCGGCUUACUGGAGAGGAUUUCCUCAACUAAUUCAUGCUAGACUGUUGAUGAUUGAUUAUAACCUGGACAUUUGAUCCUUCCCAGGAAUAUUUGGAGCUUUGUAAGGGACUAAAAAGAAUUUCUAGUAACAGAACAAUUUCAGUUACUAAUGUCUAGCCUGUGGAGACACAUUUGAGGGUAAGAAAGAGGCUGGGAAGGGCUUUUCUAAUAUCCCUCAAAUCAUACUACCGAAGCAAUCAGUGGCCUGUUUGGCUAAUGGACCAAAGUCACAUUCUAAAGGGAAAUGAGUCAUCCUAUUAAAAGGAUAAACAAACCAAGAAGAUAAGCAAAUAGCUGGAGCCAACUCCCUCAAUCUGAGUAUGAUAAAAAUGACUUUUAAAAAUAUAUCAAUCCUCACAAAACCUGAAGCCCUGUUGUCUUUGUCAAGCCUGCUGAUUUCAUUUACUGGGAGACAGGAAACCAGAUUGUCUUUAGGAAAUACAAAGAAAAUUGAUUUUAGGUGCUCAAGGAUAUGACAACAUUAAAUUUAGAAAGUAUUUCUGGUUGUAUUUAGAAAAAGAGGCAAUUCUGAGAAACAUGAACCUAGCCCCAACUUUCCUCUUUUUACUGCAUAGUAAAAAAGAAAAUCAGUGAAGUAAAAUACUUAGCUUCUUGUCUUUUCUACUGUGGCAAGGAGUUUAGUACUAUCAAAAAAAUAAUUCAAACUGGAAACCUGUGCAAAUCUAGAGCAGGAUUGCUUCACAGAUAGGUCUCCUUUUGGCUAAGAUCUGAAUGCUAUUGCCUCCAAAAUGAAUAGGUCCUUUUCACUAAGCUUACCUCCUGUCUCUUCAAUUUUACUCCUUUUCCUUUCCACUACCAUAAUGGACUGAGAUUUAAAAUCCAAACUGAGCUUGGUUGUUAGGUAACCAAGGCCAUGCUACUGAUGUCAAAAUUCUAUUCCUUAAAAGAAGUGAGUUUUCUUUCUUGGGAAGAAAAUACCACUUACCAAAAUUGUCACAGACUUAAAGCAGGCAUUAAUAAUAUGCUAGGAAUUAUUAAGGAAGGGGGAGAUGGAGGGAAAGAGAGCCUUUUCAUAACUUUAUGCUUGCUUAUUAUAUGCAUUCCCACAAAAUAUUUUUGUUUGUCAAAUUCUGGUUUCACACAUACAGUAGUGUAUCCACUGUAGAUGUUUUAUUUUCUCAGCCUAAAAAAAAUAAGUGAAAACAAAUAUUCUAGUGGGCUCAUCACAUAUUUGAUUUCCUUAAGAAAUCUCCACUUACUUUAAGGAGUGCUUAAUUGUAGGACAAAGAAUAUGUAACAUGGAAAACACUAACUCUGGAAUCAGAGAACAUGGGUUUGAAUUCUUCCUGUUUCUUAUUAUUUGUGUGAUCUUGUAUAUGAUGUCACUCCUUGAUCCUUAGUUUCUUCCUUUCUAAAAUGAGGAUGCUGGAAUGAAUGGCCUCUGAGGUCUUUUCCGGUUCUAGAUAGAUGAUUUUGUGAUCCUAUGAAAGCAGAACAAAGGGCAGAUUUGCUAGUGUCAGUGUAGACCAAAUAACUACUCUCAUAAGGCAGUUUCAGUUUGGACAGGGCAAGGAGAAUCUUCUACCUUUUGUUAUGACUUCCUUCAGCUUGUCUCUCCAUUUCCUAUAAAGUUUGUCAUGGUGUCCUAUCUCCUCUUUCCCUUUCAGGUAAUGCAUAGAGAUCUGGAGACUUCCUUUUUGGUGGGUUCAUGGCAGUGCUGCCAUGUGGAAGUGCAACUAAUAUUCUUUGGGCUGUGUGUUAUCCUUGCCAGAGCUAUGGAGUGUGACAAUGGUGUUUGUGUCCAGUCUAUCAAACGCCAUUAUCACACUAAAUAGCUAUAGUUGGGUACUCCAUCUCUUCAGGGAAGAGCAUGUCAAGCAUCGAGUCAUCUGCUGAAGAUGGACAAAACUGUUACUCUUACUUUAAUGCCCUGUUCAUUCAUGGAUACCAAAGAAAUUGCCAAAAUGGUGGCUCAUAAAAGGGUAUAUUCUUUCAGAGGCAGAAUUUUCUCAACUUUGCCUUUUACCCUUUGCUAUAAAUGGAUGUUUUCCUGAAGGAUGUAAGCUCCUUGAGGGCAGAGAUUAUUUUGUUUUAAUUUUCAUCUUUGUAUCCAUAGCCUAUCACUGCAUCUAGUACUAAUAAUCUUUAAUAAAUGUUUGUUGAAUUGAAUAUAUUUCUGAGUCCCUAAAGAAGAUGCAUACCAUCCCACAGGAUUUAGCAUGCUGCUAGACACAGUGGAUCCAACAAUAAAUAUUUCUUGAAAUGCAGUAGCAAGGAGGGAAUGGAUAAAGGGAAAAGAAAUCAUCUGGGAUAUGCAAAUAAUUUAUUAUUUACAUAGAAAGUAAAGUAUUUGCCUUUUUUCUUUUCAUUAUGGAAUUCCUUUCAAAAGCACACGGUAAUAAACUUACAUUUGGUCUAAUUGACCUCCUAGAAAUGUUAGUGCACAUGUUUGACUCCUAACAAUUUUAUUCAAUUACAGUGAUGAUUGCUAUAUAUGUAUGCACGAUUCCCCCUUCCCUAAUGUAUCCUUUAAUUAUCCAUUAUGUUGAACUGCUGAAAACAACUUUUGAAAUUGUUAGCUCUUGUGGCCUAUUUAAUAAUUGAACUCAGCAGAGUUGAAAUGCAAUAGAGGUAAAGGGGGUUGGUUCUUAUAUCCUAAACAAGGAGAGGAUCAGAAGGUGUACUGGCUUAAAAUAAUUUGAAUUAAUCAACUGCAUGAUAGCCCAAGUUGGGCUUUUUCCUCAGAAUCCAGUUAUUAGGACUAAAUUCUUGACACUGGAUCAUGUUUUGUGUAUGAGGCAAACUGAUGGUAUAUGCAGUUUUUCAGUUUCCAGUUGUCCUGGAAAUGGAGACUAUAAUCAUACAAAGAAACUCCAGAAUACCUGAUGAGUGAUUAAAAACAAAAAGAAAGAAAUGGAAUAGUGGAAAGAACACCAGACCAAGAGAGAGGAAUUCUUUCUUUAAGGAAGUCAUUAAAUCUCUUUUGGCUUCCUGGAGCAGCAAGGUGGGUAACACAGUGAAUAAAUAAAGGGCCUGACCUAAAGUAAAGAAGACCUGAGUUCAAAUCCAGCCUACUUAUUAACUGUGACCUGGAAAAGUCAUUUAGUCCUACUUGUCUCAGUUUCUCAUCUGUAAAAUGAGCUGGAGCAGGAAAUGGCAAACGACAUGAGUAUCUUUAUCCCCUAAAAUGGAGUCACAAAGAGUCAGACAUGAUUGAAAUAAUUGAACAAUAACAAAAAUGGAAGGCCAGCCUAGAUGAUCUCUUAAGUUAUAAUUCUAACAAUCUCUGAAUCUAAGUAAUACCAUUAGUCAAAUGAAUAAAAUUUACAAAAUAAUUCAUUAAGGAAUUUUGAAAACCUUAAUGAAAAUACCUUAAUGAAGAGAUUAUCUUCAGUACAUUUAGUAAAAAAGAAAAAAAAUUGCAUUAAUGGUUUACAAAUAUCACAUUUCAAAGAAAUGAGUUUGUUUAUUUAGAGGACAAAAAUACAAAUCCAAAGAACAGAGCUUAUGGAACUGGAAGCAAGGAAGGAAAAAGAGGGAGUAAAUAAAAAAAAGGAUAUGACACUAUUCCAAUCCACUAUAAUGGUUUUGGGGUUUUUCACAGGGGAGAGACUCACCAGCCAAUGAUACUGCUAAAAGCAAGAGAUCUUUAAUUUGAUACAUUUUCAGCUUCCCCAAGGGAAGAUUUAAGGUCUAAGGGAACACCUAGCAAUGGGAACAAAUAAGGGGAGGACAGAAGCAACUCAGGAGGGAUACAACCAUAUUUGUAAUAACAGUAUUUAGGCCACAGCAGGAUAAGAAAAGAAGUUCAAGGAUGUGAGUGAAGAGGAUAUAUGUUGUCCUUUGUAUACUUAGCUUUGCUUCUACAUAAGAUAGCUAAGAUCUUGUCUCCAUCAGGGAAGCACACCAGCUCUUCCCACCCUUCUAAAACUAGGUGGGGAUCAACACAGGUCAAUUCUCUAUACAAAAGUAUUUUCAUAGAUUAGGAUGGUCAGCCAAUGAGAAGAGUCAAAGAAAAUUCAAAUUGCCAGAGAAACAACAAAACAAAGCAGAAGAGGGAAGGGUGAGUUCUUGCUCAUACCUGGCUGAUUGAUCUCCUUCAUUUGCUGUCAUAUAUAACAGAUGCUAAUUAACCAGGUGGAGUAUGGGCAUAGAAGAUUAUAAAAGAGGGAAGGGGCCAGGCUGGACGAAGAGUUGUGUCUGAAGCACAUAUAGCUUGUUUCAAGAAAUACUGGAUUCAUCUGCAUCCAAAAAGAGAACUAUGGAGAUUGAAUGUAAAUCAAUACAUGCUAUCUUCGCUUCUUUUUUUUCUGUUUUUUUCCUUGUGGUUUUUCCCUUUUGUUCUGAUUUUUCUCUCCCAACAUGAUUCACAAAGAAAUGUGUAUUUAAAAAGUUAAUACACAUGAAUAAACAGAAAAAAAAAGCAAUAAAGAAAAAAAGACUGGACCCCCCAAAAAAGAGAGGAGUGUGAGGAUACAUGUAUAUGUAUAUAUUCUGUGAAUUAAUAACUAUCAUAGAUGUAGGAAGGGAAAGUUUAAGUUUGGUCCUUAACUAUUGAAAUUCACCUUGUCAAAUGACUUCUCAUCUAAUUAAAUUCCCUUUAUUUUUUUCAAUUUUGAUAUCUUCUUUUCCGAUUCAUUGAUGUGUCUCAGAAGAUCAUAUUUCAUUAAUGACUCAUAUGAAGUUACAUAUAAGCUUCCCUUUCUUGUCCCAAAUGCAACGUGAAAGCACAUAAGCUUAUGAACAAACACAUUAAAUUUACAAUCCAUAUUGUUUUUCUCCCCAGUGUUUUUAUUUCUAAUGGCAAUGCCACAGUACAAUGAAUCAUCAGAGUAGG
Molecule: long non-coding RNA, 13492 nt
Filed under: Sarcophilus harrisii (Tasmanian devil)
Lineage: Eukaryota; Metazoa; Chordata; Mammalia; Dasyuromorphia; Dasyuridae
Description: lncRNA (ENSSHAG00000022881.1)
Rfam family: mir-122 microRNA precursor family (bases 10424-10496)
Source: RNAcentral